GACGAACGCUGGCGGCGUGCCUAAUACAUGCAAGUAGAACGCUGAAGAGAGGAGCUUGCUCUUCUUGGAUGAGUUGCGAACGGGUGAGUAACGCGUAGGUAACCUGCCUUGUAGCGGGGGAUAACUAUUGGAAACGAUAGCUAAUACCGCAUAACAAUGGAUGACACAUGUCAUUUAUUUGAAAGGGGCAAUUGCUCCACUACAAGAUGGACCUGCGUUGUAUUAGCUAGUAGGUGAGGUAAUGGCUCACCUAGGCGACGAUACAUAGCCGACCUGAGAGGGUGAUCGGGCACACUGGGACUGGGACACGGCCCAGACUCCUACGGGAGGCAGCAGUAGGGAAUCAUCGGCAAUGGGGGCAACCCUGACCGAGCAACGCCGCGUGAGUGAAGAAGGUUUUCGGAUCGGAAAGCUCUGUUGUAAGUCAAGAACGGGUGUGAGAGUGGAAAGUUCACACUGUGACGGUAGCUUACCAGAAAGGGACGGCUAACUACGUG
RNAcentral lists this ribosomal RNA (497 nucleotides) under uncultured bacterium. RNAcentral describes it as "partial 16S ribosomal RNA". It matches the Rfam family "Bacterial small subunit ribosomal RNA", at positions 28 to 507 of the family's 1533-position model. The record is from RNAcentral.